AGAUUGAACGCUGGCGGAAUGCUUUACACAUGCAAGUCGAACGGCAGCACGGACUUCGGUCUGGUGACGAGUGGCGGACGGGUGAGGAAUAUAUCGGAAUCUACCCAAUCGUGGGGGAUAACGUGGGAAACUUACGCUAAUACCGCAUACGAUCUGAGGAUGAAAGCGGCGGACCGCAAGGCGUCGCGCGAUUGGAUGAGCCGAUAUCCGAUUAGCUAGUUGGUGGGGUAAUGGCCCACCAAGGCGACGAUCGGUAGCUGGUCUGAGAGGAUGAUCAGCCACACUGGAACUGAGACACGGUCCAGACUCCUACGGGAGGCAGCAGUGGGGAAUAUUGGACAAUGGGCGCAAGCCUGAUCCAGCCAUGCCGCGUGUGUGAAGAAGGCCUUCGGGUUGUAAAGCACUUUUGUUGGGGAAGAAAAGCCGUCGGUUAAUACCCGAUGGUGAUGACGGUACCCAAAGAAUAAGCACCGGCUAACUUCGUG
RNAcentral lists this ribosomal RNA (485 nucleotides) under uncultured bacterium. Its description in RNAcentral is "bacterial SSU rRNA". It matches the Rfam family "Bacterial small subunit ribosomal RNA", at positions 26 to 507 of the family's 1533-position model. The record is from RNAcentral.